GGGUCUACGGGCUCUUUUAUGGCGAAUGCAAUCCGAAAAGAGAGCAAGCUGUAUCUUCAGAGUCGUCUCCGUCUUUCCAAGAACAGAACAAAAUGAACAAGGUAGAACAGAAGUUCCAGGGGUCAGUAUCAUUUAAAGAUGUGACUGUGGGCUUCACCCAGGAGGAGUGGCAGCACCUGGACCCUAGUCAGAGGGCUCUGUAUAGAGAUGUGAUGCUGGAGAACUACAGCAACCUUGUCUCAGUGGGGUAUUGUGCUCACAAACCAGAGGUGAUCUUCAGGCUGGAACAAGGAGAAGAACCAUGGAGACUGGAGGAAGAAUUUCCAAGCUGGAGCUUUCCAGGUGAGUUAAUAUGUACUGCACAGAUUCACAUCAGGGGAUUUUUUGUUUCCCAGUAGUUAAUUCAGGGUUUGGCAACUUUGGAACAUUUUUCAAGAACAUCUCCAUAGGGGUCCUAACCUCU
RNAcentral lists this small RNA (463 nucleotides) under Pongo abelii (Sumatran orangutan). Its description in RNAcentral is "retained intron". Lineage: Eukaryota; Metazoa; Chordata; Mammalia; Primates; Hominidae. The record is from RNAcentral.